This 468-nucleotide ribosomal RNA is filed under the name uncultured bacterium. RNAcentral's name for it is "partial 16S ribosomal RNA". It matches the Rfam family "Bacterial small subunit ribosomal RNA", at positions 28 to 507 of the family's 1533-position model. The record is from RNAcentral.
GACGAACGCUGGCGGCGUGCUUAACACAUGCAAGUCGAACGGAAAGACCCUGCUUUUGUGGGGUGCUCGAGUGGCGAACGGGUGAGUAACACGUGAGUAACCUGCCCUUGACUUUGGGAUAACUUCAGGAAACUGGGGCUAAUACCGGAUAGGAGCUCCUGCUGCAUGGUGGGGGUUGGAAAGUUUCGGCGGUUGGGGAUGGACUCGCGGCUUAUCAGCUUGUUGGUGGGGUAGUGGCUUACCCAGUCUUUGACGGGUAGCCGGCCUGAGAGGGUGGCCGGCCACAUUGGGACUGAGAUACGGACCAGACUCCUACGGGAGGCAACAGUGGAGAAUAUUACACAGUGGGCGGGAGCCUGAUGCGGCGGCGCCGCGUGCGGGAUGACGGCCUUCGGGUUGUAAACCGCUUUCGCCUGUGACGAAGCGUGAGUGACGGUAAUGGGUGAAGAAGCACCGGCUAACUACGUG